RNAcentral lists this ribosomal RNA (301 nucleotides) under uncultured bacterium. RNAcentral describes it as "partial 16S ribosomal RNA". It matches the Rfam family "Bacterial small subunit ribosomal RNA", at positions 509 to 808 of the family's 1533-position model. The record is from RNAcentral.
CAGCAGCGCGGUAAUACAGAGGGUGCGAGCGUUAAUCGGAUUUACUGGGCGUAAAGCGUGCGUAGGCGGCUUUUUAAGUCGGAUGUGAAAUCCCUGAGCUUAACUUAGGAAUUGCAUUCGAUACUGGGAAGCUAGAGUAUGGGAGAGGAUGGUAGAAUUCCAGGUGUAGCGGUGAAAUGCGUAGAGAUCUGGAGGAAUACCGAUGGCGAAGGCAGCCAUCUGGCCUAAUACUGACGCUGAGGUACGAAAGCAUGGGGAGCAAACAGGAUUAGAUACCCCCGUAGUCCCUGUCUCUUAUACA